AUCAAUUUGGUGCAAAAACAAAAAAAAAGCAUCAGGGCCUUCUGAAUGCUGCGAAGAUCUGCGUGCCACUAGGUUUUUUGACUUGACAGAGAAUCUACCACUAAAAAACAUUUUCAGGACUUUACAAAGACAUUUAAUAGAUGUUUGCCAGAUGAUAAUGUCUCAAGAUUUUACAGUAUUUGUUUUCUAAUGACUCUUCUGUUUUGGGGAGACUCUCCUUUUUCAGUGGUCUGUUGUUUAAAAAAAAGAAAAGAAAUGGGACCAAAAGACCUGGUCUCGUAUAUAAAUUUGUCUCAUGCACUGGACUAGCCUACACUGGUAGAAGCCUUUAUUCUAUUGCACUGGACAGCGCUAUCAUGGAUCUUUAAAUCCUAGAUUUGAUGAUUCAUUUCAAUCCAGUUUUGAGCCAUAUUUAGUCCACUGAAUUCCAAUAGCACUGAAAUAGAUGAGUUGUAAUAAAAGAAGAAGAAAAAAAAACUAUUUGAUAUUUGCUUUUGCUAUAGAUGCCCGAUACUGUGUACUAUUUUAUGCACUCUCUUCCUCAGGACAGGAUUGGAGUGCCAUAUGUGCAUGAUGAUUGUCACAAUUUGUACAGGCCUGUUAACCAGUUUACUGUGACGAGCCAGCACACAUGUUAGGGAUCAGACAUGGUAGAUGUCCUUGGACCUCACUCAGAGCUGAACGGAACAAGUUCGGUCACUUUUUUUAAAAAUCCAACCGGAGACUCUUUGUAUCAAACUGGAAGGUCUACAAGUUUUAAUGAUUUUUAUUCUAUUUCAAUCCAAGCCGUUUGAAUUCACUUGUGUUACAUUUCUUACAUUGUUGUUGAUGUUCAAUUAGCUUUUCACGGAGUUUGUUUGAGUUGACAACGGUCGGCUCCGUCUUCUGUAACUCAUGCUUUGUAUUUACCCUGUAACAUUAACUCUGACCCUUCUUUAUCUUGAUUCAUCUGUAUUAACUAGCAUUAGGCUACAAACCGAUUUCAGUUUAAAUCAUAGAUAAUACACAUGGAUUAGAACAGAUUUAUUUUGUUGUUAGCUGUUUUUUGGUGGGCUGCUCGUAGUGCAUUGAAGAGCUUUAAAUACAGUGGCUAUGACACUUUGUGCUGUUCUGACCUUUCUUUGUGUUCGACUUUGCAGAAACGAGCAUUUACACAUUUACAUGACAGAGAAUGAAGGAUUGAUUUCUACGUUUGUUGUUUUGACCUUUCGUGUCUGAACCGACUGCACUUGACUGAUGCUCCCGUCACGUCACACGGACCGACUUUAUGGAUGUUCAUCAGUUUUAUUUUUGGAUCCCGGUCUGCAGAGCUGUACAGGGCAGUAAUGCUUUUAACCACUUAGCGGUGCACAGACGUCCUGUGACAGCAGCAAACACACAAAUGAUUUCCUCCAUCAUGCUCUCAAUCAGACUCUCGUCCGAGCUCAAUUUCUCUCUUCAACCCCUUUUUAGAAGAGCAACCCAAUUCCCU
Gasterosteus aculeatus aculeatus (three-spined stickleback) is the source of this 1471-nucleotide long non-coding RNA. Lineage: Eukaryota; Metazoa; Chordata; Actinopteri; Perciformes; Gasterosteidae. The record is from Ensembl.